GAUGAACGCUGGCGGCGUGCUUAACACAUGCAAGUCGAACGGAAAGGCCCAAGCUUGCUUGGGUACUCGAGUGGCGAACGGGUGAGUAACACGUGGGUGAUCUGCCCUGCACUUCGGGAUAAGCCUGGGAAACUGGGUCUAAUACCGGAUAGGACCACAUUUUGGAUGGUGUGGUGGAAAGUUUUUCGGUGUGGGAUGAGCUCGCGGCCUAUCAGCUUGUUGGUGGGGUAAUGGCCUACCAAGGCGUCGACGGGUAGCCGGCCUGAGAGGGUGUACGGCCACAUUGGGACUGAGAUACGGCACAGACUCCUACGGGAGGCAGCAGUGGGGAAUAUUGCACAAUGGGCGCAAGCCUGAUGCAGCGACGCCGCGUGGGGGAUGACGGCCUUCGGGUUGUAAACUCCUUUCGCUAGGGACGAAGCGUUAUGUGACGGUACCUGGAGAAGAAGCACCGGCUAACUACGUG
This 466-nucleotide ribosomal RNA is filed under the name uncultured bacterium. Its description in RNAcentral is "partial 16S ribosomal RNA". It matches the Rfam family "Bacterial small subunit ribosomal RNA", at positions 28 to 507 of the family's 1533-position model. The record is from RNAcentral.